GUGGGGAAUAUUAGGCAAUGGGCGAAAGCCUGACCUAGCAACGCCGCGUGAAGGAAGAAGGCCUUCGGGUUGUAAACUUCUUUUAUGAGGGACGAAGGACGUGACGGUACCUCAUGAAUAAGCCACGGCUAACUACGUGCCAGCAGCCGCGGUAAUACGUAGGUGGCGAGCGUUGUCCGGAUUUACUGGGUGUAAAGGGCGCGUAGGCGGACUGGCAAGGCAGAUGUGAAAUACAGGGGCUCAACCCCUGAACUGCAUUUGAAACUGUUGGUCUUGAGUAUCGGGGAGGCAAGCGGAAUUCCUAGUGUAGCGGUGAAAUGCGUAGAUAUUAGGAGGAACACCAGUGGCGAAGGCGGCUUGCUGGACGACAACUGACGCUGAGGCGCGAAAGCGUGGGGAGCAAACAGGAUUAGAAACCCGAGUAGUCC
RNAcentral lists this ribosomal RNA (428 nucleotides) under uncultured bacterium. RNAcentral describes it as "partial 16S ribosomal RNA". It matches the Rfam family "Bacterial small subunit ribosomal RNA", at positions 354 to 796 of the family's 1533-position model. The record is from RNAcentral.